Molecule: long non-coding RNA, 1050 nt
Filed under: Nicotiana tabacum (common tobacco)
Lineage: Eukaryota; Viridiplantae; Streptophyta; Magnoliopsida; Solanales; Solanaceae
Description: long non-coding RNA (NTAB_LNC011239)
Source: RNAcentral
ACACCCUGCUGAUAACCUGGUUUCUUUCCUCAACAAUGCUAAGGGGGCAACUGUCGGCGAUGUGAGUAGACAGAUUAAUAAAUUGGUUGCAUCCUUUAAAGUUAUUUGUUCAUAUUUAACUAUAUUAUAUUGUGCAUUUUUGCAGGCUGUGAACAAGCUAGGCGUAAUGGGUCUUUGUACUCGCGGUCUUCCUCUUCGUAUAGUCAUGAUUGGUACACUCACUGGAGCACAAUGGGGCAUCUAUGACUCUUUCAAAGUUUUUGUUGGCCUGUGAGUUUCUCCUUCCUUUCUUUUCUUUUCUUUUCAGUUCAGUUGUCUAAUGUUAUGUUUGUUUGAUUUGACGAAAGUCAAGAAAAUGACGUUCUCCAUUUAUGGGCAAGUCAUUUUCUUAUGACUAUCUUAAUUUAUAAUUUCAUAUCUUCAACUAACACUUAUCCAUUAUCACUAAUCUUUAGUACUCAAGAAUUUCAUCAAAGUACUCCCUGAUUUGCUAAUAUCAUUAUUGACAUCUAACAUAUAUUCUUUUUUGUUUCAAAUUAUAUUUUUUAUUCACCAACCAAACUUUUGAAAUCAUUUUCUAUGAAAAUAUCUUUCAUGGACAAUAACUUUCGUCAUACCAAACACACUUCAUAUUUUUUCAAAAUCAUCCACCGCGCUCCUCCAACUUCUGUAUUUACUAGCUUAUUCCUUUCUAAUAUGAGAAAAUUUCCCUACCAUAAUCAGAUAAAAGAAUAUCUUAUGACUAGUUAUAAUUAAUUUCUUGAAAUGAUGUUGCCACCCAUUGCUCUUGCAGGCCAACGACCGGUGGUGCAGCCUCACCUGCCCCUGCCAAGUGAAGAGGAAAAUGUGAAAUAAUUAAUGAUGAAAAAUCUUCUCCAGUACUCAAUAUCUCUUUCAUUUACUGGCAGAGGGAAAAUGGAAAUGUUUUUCCAUCUAAAAGUUUGUUUGAACAGUGUAGGAAAGUUUUUGCAUUAAUUCAAGCUUUGCAGUAAGAUCUGAUAUUUUGUUGGGAGGAUGAAUUAUCCUCAAGAUGGCUGGUUACUGAAGAAG